CCCUUAGAUGUUCUGGGCCGCACGCGCGCUACACUGAUGCAUUCAACGAGUCUAAAACCUGGUCUGAUAGGGCUGGGUAAUCUUUUGAAUGUGCAUCGUGAUUGGGAUAGAUGAUUGCAAUUCUUCAUCUUCAACGAGGAAUGCCUAGUAAACGCAAGUCAUCAGCUUGCAUUGAUUACGUCCCUGCCCUUUGUACACACCGCCCGUCGCUCCUACCGAUUGAGUGGUCCGGUGAGGCUUUGGGAUCUGAGCGGAAAGAGCGUUUCGCUGUUUCUGCCCGGAAAACUCAGUCGAACCUUAUCAUUUAGAGGAAGGAGAAGUCGUAACA
Molecule: ribosomal RNA, 328 nt
Filed under: uncultured eukaryote
Lineage: Eukaryota
Description: partial 18S ribosomal RNA
Rfam family: Eukaryotic small subunit ribosomal RNA
Source: RNAcentral